UUUACCUAAAGAGAUUAGUAA
This 21-nucleotide non-coding RNA is filed under the name Caenorhabditis elegans. Lineage: Eukaryota; Metazoa; Nematoda; Chromadorea; Rhabditida; Rhabditidae. The record is from RNAcentral.